This 287-nucleotide long non-coding RNA is filed under the name Mytilus galloprovincialis (Mediterranean mussel). The record is from RNAcentral. Lineage: Eukaryota; Metazoa; Mollusca; Bivalvia; Mytilida; Mytilidae.
GCUUUUGUUUCACAUUAUUAUUAAUAAACAAUAUUAAUAAUUUUGAUUUUAAUAUUCCAUGGAGCACAGCUAAAUAUAUACUUUAUCUGCUGAAUGAAAUCACAAUUUGUACACAGUGACACAUUUAUGAAGUAAAAGUUCUGUGAAACAUCCUCUCCUCAGUGAUCAUAAUUAGGACACAAUAUCACAUACUAUAUAUUCCACUUUCUUAUAAAUUUUUCCUUUGUUUGAUCAUGAACUAACACAUGUUCCAGAAUCAUUGCAGUUAGUUAUUCAUUCAUUUCAAC